AAUCAACGCUGGCGGCGUGCCUAACACAUGCAAGUCGAACGCGAAAGUGGAGCAAUCCAUGAGUAGAGUGGCAAACGGGUGAGUAACGCGUGGGUGACCUGCCUUCGAGCGGGGGAUAACGUUCCGAAAGGGACGCUAAUACCGCAUGACAUCCUGCCUUUGAAGAGGCGGAGAUCAAAGCUGGGGAUCGCAAGACCUAGCACUCGAUGAGGGGCCCGCGUCUGAUUAGCUAGUUGGUGGGGUAACGGCUCACCAAGGCAACGAUCAGUAUCCGGCCUGAGAGGGCGGACGGACACACUGGGACUGAGACACGGCCCAGACUCCUACGGGAGGCAGCAGUGGGGAAUUGUUCGCAAUGGGCGCAAGCCUGACGACGCAACGCCGCGUGGAGGAUGAAGAUCUUCGGGUCGUAAACUCCUUUCGAUCGAGACGAACGGCCUCCGGGUAAACAAUCCGGAGGAGUGACGGUACCGAGAGAAGAAGCCCCGGCUAACUCCGUGCCAGCAGCCGCGGUAAUACGGGGGGGGCAAGCGUUGUUCGGAAUUACUGGGCGUAAAGGGCUCGUAAGCGGCCAACUAAGUCAGACGUGAAAUCCCUCGGCUUAACCGGGGA
RNAcentral lists this ribosomal RNA (612 nucleotides) under uncultured soil bacterium. RNAcentral's name for it is "bacterial SSU rRNA". It matches the Rfam family "Bacterial small subunit ribosomal RNA", at positions 28 to 619 of the family's 1533-position model. The record is from RNAcentral.